GCUCUAAUUUCAUCCUUACUACUUUCUCUCAUAAAAUCAUUAUAUUCUUUUACUUGUGUAUUAAACCACCUUUUACGUAACGCAUGUGAUGUAUUUUAAACGUUUUAUAGUCGAUCUUAAUUCUUGUACCUUUUGCAUCAUGGCUUUACUAUUUUUAUGUAUUUUCAUAUUCCCGAAUUAUUAACGAGCUAGAUUAAAUUUGAUUCAGUUCUCAUAGUAAUUUAUUGAAAUAAAUUCUAAAAAAUUCGAUUCUCUAGAGGCUACAUACCUUUCGCGUAAUAAUAGCUGGUUGCUCAAUUUUUCUAUUUAAGUAGAUUUUCCAGGUUUCCCUCUUUCAAAAUCCUCAUAUCUGGUUUAUAGUUUUAGAAGGAUAAGCUUUUAAAAUGACCCUAUCUUUAUUUAAUUUUAUUUUAAAUCAGGCCUGAAAUUAGCCUAUUAUCAUGAAUUGUUAUAUUUCUUUUCUUUAAAAAAAUAAAAUUAUACUUUGAUGCUUAAUUGUCGAGCUUAGUUAACUAAUUAUUAUUAUUUCUUUUUAUUCUGUAAAGAUGAGUAUCAACUCUUUUUCUUUAAAACUUUAUUUUUAUUGCUAAAGAAGACUUACGGCAUAGUCUUGACGAAGGAACUCGGCAACUCUUAAGUUCGACUGUUUAUCAAAAACAUUGCCUCUUGACUACACAUCAUAAGAGGUUCAUCCUGCCCAGUGAAUUUUUAACGGCCGCGGUAUCCUGACCGUGCGAAGGUAGCAUAAUCACUUGCCUUUUAAUUGAAGGCUCGUAUGAACGGACAAACGAAACUUGCUCUGUCUCCUCAGACCCAUUCGAAAUUAGUUUUCAGGUGAAGAAACCUGAAUCUAUUAAAAAGACAAGAAGACCCUAUUGAGUUUUACAAUUUCUGUAUUUUUACUUUAAUUGUUUGGUUGGGGCGACCAGGGAACUCUAUUCUCUUCCCUAUCCUACCCGAUUUAUAUUUCUCCAAUAUUGACCCUUUUUUGAUCAACUGAAUAAACUACCAUAGGGAUAACAGGCUUAUUUUCUCUGAGAGUUCAUAUUAACGAGAAAGUUUGGCACCUCGAUGUUGGCUUAGGGUAACUUCAAAAUGCAGCAGUUUUGACCGGUUAGUUUGUUCAACUAUUAAACCCCUACAUGAGCUGAGUUCAGACCGGCGCAAGCCAGGUUAGUUUCUAUCUUUUAAUUCCUAAAAUACUACAGUACGAAAGGACAAUAGUUUUUCCAAUAUUUGGAAUCUAAGAAACAAAAUAAAUUACCUAUAAAUAAUUAAUAACUU
RNAcentral lists this ribosomal RNA (1284 nucleotides) under Pisione sp. YZ-2018. RNAcentral describes it as "16S ribosomal RNA". The stretch from base 600 to 1284 matches the Rfam family "Eukaryotic large subunit ribosomal RNA", at positions 1891 to 3218 of the family's 3401-position model. Lineage: Eukaryota; Metazoa; Annelida; Polychaeta; Phyllodocida; Pisionidae. The record is from RNAcentral.